AGGUAAUAGAUACCCCGGUAGUCCACGCCCUAAACGAUGUCAACUGGUUGUUGGGAAGGUUCCUUCUCAGUAAACGUAGCUAAACGCGUGAAAGUUGACCGCCUGGGGGGUACGGGCCGCAAGGUUAGAACUACAAGGAAUUGACGGGGACCCGGCACAAGCGGUGGAUGAUGUGGUUUAAUUCGAUGCAACGCGAUAAACCUUACCUACCUUGACAUGCCAGGAAUCCUGCAGAGAUGUGGGAGUGCUCGAAAGAGAACCUGGACACAGGUGCUGCAUGGCCGUCGUCAGCUCGUGUCGUGAGAUGUUGGGUUAAGUCCCGCAACGAGCGCAACCCUUGUCAUUAGUUGCUACGAAAGGGCACUCUAAUGAGACUGCCGGUGACAAACCGGAGGAAGGUGGGGAUGACGUCAGGUCCUCAUGGCCCUUAUGGGUAGGGCUACACACGUCAUACAAUGGCCGGUACAGAGGGUUGCCAA
This 479-nucleotide ribosomal RNA is filed under the name uncultured bacterium. Its description in RNAcentral is "bacterial SSU rRNA". It matches the Rfam family "Bacterial small subunit ribosomal RNA", at positions 774 to 1253 of the family's 1533-position model. The record is from RNAcentral.